AUUGAACGCUGGCGGCAUGCUUUACACAUGCAAGUCGAACGGUAACAGGCCGCAAGGUGCUGACGAGUGGCGAACGGGUGAGUAAUGCAUCGGAACGUGCCCAGUCGUGGGGGAUAACUACUCGAAAGAGUAGCUAAUACCGCAUACGAUCUAUGGAUGACAGCGGGGGACCGUAAGGCCUCGCUCGAUUGGAGCGGCCGAUGUCAGAUUAGGUAGUUGGUGGGGUAAAGGCUCACCAAGCCAACGAUCUGUAGCUGGUCUGAGAGGACGACCAGCCACACUGGGACUGAGACACGGCCCAGACUCCUACGGGAGGCAGCAGUGGGGAAUUUUGGACAAUGGGCGCAAGCCUGAUCCAGCAAUGCCGCGUGCAGGAAGAAGGCCUUCGGGUUGUAAACUGCUUUUGUACGGAACGAAACGGCUCUGGUUAAUACCCGGGGCUAAUGACGGUACCGUAAGAAUAAGCACCGGCUAACUACGUG
This 482-nucleotide ribosomal RNA is filed under the name uncultured bacterium. Its description in RNAcentral is "partial 16S ribosomal RNA". It matches the Rfam family "Bacterial small subunit ribosomal RNA", at positions 30 to 507 of the family's 1533-position model. The record is from RNAcentral.